CAGUAGCCGCGGUAAUACAGAGGGUGCGAGCGUUAAUCGGAUUUACUGGGCGUAAAGCGUGCGUAGGCGGCUUUUUAAGUCGGAUGUGAAAUCCCUGAGCUUAACUUAGGAAUUGCAUUCGAUACUGGGAAGCUAGAGUAUGGGAGAGGAUGGUAGAAUUCCAGGUGUAGCGGUGAAAUGCGUAGAGAUCUGGAGGAAUACCGAUGGCGAGGGCAGCCAUCUGGCCUAAUACUGACGCUGAGGUACGAAAGCAUGGGGAGCAAACAGGAUUAGAUACCCCAGUAGUCCCUGUCUCUUAUAC
Molecule: ribosomal RNA, 301 nt
Filed under: uncultured bacterium
Lineage: Bacteria
Description: partial 16S ribosomal RNA
Rfam family: Bacterial small subunit ribosomal RNA
Source: RNAcentral